Molecule: ribosomal RNA, 164 nt
Filed under: Mikaniopsis sp. KAD343
Lineage: Eukaryota; Viridiplantae; Streptophyta; Magnoliopsida; Asterales; Asteraceae
Description: 5.8S ribosomal RNA
Rfam family: 5.8S ribosomal RNA
About the family: 5.8S ribosomal RNA (5.8S rRNA) is a component of the large subunit of the eukaryotic ribosome. It is transcribed by RNA polymerase I as part of the 45S precursor that also contains 18S and 28S rRNA.
Source: RNAcentral
CAAACGWCUCUCGGCAACGGAUAUCUCGGCUCACGCAUCGAUGAAGAACGUAGCAAAAUGCGAUACUUGGUGUGAAUUGCAGAAUCCCGUGAACCAUCGAGUUUUUGAACGCAAGUUGCGCCCGAAGCCUUUUGGCGUAGGGCAUGUCUGCCUGGGCGUCACAC